UACGUAGGGUGCGAGCGUUAAUCGGAAUUACUGGGCGUAAAGCGUGCGCAGGCGGUUUUGUAAGACAGGCGUGAAAUCCCCGGGCUUAACCUGGGAAUUGCGCUUGUGACUGCAAGGCUAGAGUGCGUCAGAGGGGGGUAGAAUUCCACGUGUAGCAGUGAAAUGCGUAGAGAUGUGGAGGAAUACCGAUGGCGAAGGCAGCCCCCUGGGACGUGACUGACGCUCAUGCACGAAAGCGUGGGGAG
RNAcentral lists this ribosomal RNA (245 nucleotides) under uncultured Cupriavidus sp. RNAcentral's name for it is "partial 16S ribosomal RNA". It matches the Rfam family "Bacterial small subunit ribosomal RNA", at positions 524 to 768 of the family's 1533-position model. The record is from RNAcentral. Lineage: Bacteria; Pseudomonadati; Pseudomonadota; Betaproteobacteria; Burkholderiales; Burkholderiaceae.